Molecule: ribosomal RNA, 400 nt
Filed under: Miropotes sp. 'A.D. Austin'
Lineage: Eukaryota; Metazoa; Arthropoda; Insecta; Hymenoptera; Braconidae
Description: partial 28S large subunit ribosomal RNA
Source: RNAcentral
CAUCGUCAGCGUAUUCAGUAUUAAUACAGGCUAUGAUGUAAUUAUAGAAUCCUUGUUGUCACUCGAUUAUACUUGCUUGUGUUAUUACGCUGGAUAUGUCGGCGUGCACUUCUCUUUUAGUAGAACGUCGCAACCCGUUGAAUGUUUAUCUAUGGCCUAUAAGGUAGCCUUUAGUAUUUUAUUAUACCGAAGACCUGUGGUAACCUGAUAAACUGUUUGACGGUAUCAUUAUGGUAUUGAGCCGCAAAUUAUUUGCGUUAGACUUACCGCAAGCAAGAUUUUUUUCUGGUAGUGCGGAUUUUAUGCCGUCGCUGGAUAAAGUCUACUGUUAGCUGUGUAAUGUUCUUUAACUGGCUUAUUUUACCGGUUAGCGAUGCUACUGCUUUGGGUACUUACAGGA